Molecule: unclassified non-coding RNA, 253 nt
Filed under: uncultured Planctomycetota bacterium
Lineage: Bacteria; Pseudomonadati; Planctomycetota
Description: uncultured planctomycete contains 16S-23S intergenic spacer region
Rfam family: Bacterial small subunit ribosomal RNA
Source: RNAcentral
UACAGAGGUGGCAAGCGUUGCUCGGAAUUACUGGGCAUAAAGGGCGUCUAGGCGGAUCGGAAAGUCGGCUGUGAAAGCCCCCGGCUCAACCGGGGAAGUGCAUCCGAAACUAUCGAUCUUGAGGACAAGAGGGGUGAGUGGAACUCCUGGUGGAGCGGUGAAAUGCGUAGAUAUCAGGAGGAACGCCGGCGGCGAAAGCGACUCACUGGCUUGGUCCUGACGCUGAAGCGCGAAAGCUAGGGGAGCGAACGGG